This 425-nucleotide ribosomal RNA is filed under the name uncultured bacterium. RNAcentral describes it as "partial 16S ribosomal RNA". It matches the Rfam family "Bacterial small subunit ribosomal RNA", at positions 354 to 796 of the family's 1533-position model. The record is from RNAcentral.
GUGGGGAAUAUUGGACAAUGGGCGCAAGCCUGAUCCAGCCAUGCCGCGUGAGUGAUGAAGGUCUUAGGAUUGUAAAGCUCUUUCACCGGUGAAGAUAAUGACGGUAACCGGAGAAGAAGCCCCGGCUAACUUCGUGCCAGCAGCCGCGGUAAUACGAAGGGGGCGAGCGUUGUUCGGAAUUACUGGGCGUAAAGCGCAUGUAGGCGGCUCUUUAAGGCAGGGGUGAAAUCCCGCAGCUCAACUGCGGAACUGCCUUUGAUACUGGGUAUCUUGAGUAUGGAAGAGGUGAGUGGAAUUCCGAGUGUAGAGGUGAAAUUCGUAGAUAUUCGGAGGAACGCCAGUGGCGAAGGCGGCUCACUGGUCCAUUACUGACGCUGAGGUGCGAAAGCGUGGGGAGCAAACAGGAUUAGAUACCCUAGUAGUCC